UCGAGAAUUUUUCUCAAUGGGGGAAACCCUGAAGGAGCGACGCCGCGUGGAGGAUGAAGGUCUUCGGGUUGUAAACUCCUGUCAUUUGGGAACAAGUGUCGGUACCUAACUGCUACCGGCUUGAUAGUACCAGAAGAGGAAGGGACGGCUAACUCUGUGCCAGCAGCCGCGGUAAUACAGAGGUCUCAAGCGUUGUUCGGAUUCAUUGGGCGUAAAGGGUGUGUAGGUGGCGCCGUAAGUCGGGUGUGAAAUUUCGGAGCUUAACUCCGAAACUGCAUUCGAUACUGCGGUGCUUGAGGACUGGAGAGGAGACUGGAAUUCAUGGUGUAGCAGUGAAAUGCGUAGAGAUCAUGAGGAAGACCAGUGGCGAAGGCGGGUCUCUGGACAGUUCCUGACACUGAGACACGAAGGCCAGGGGAGCAAACG
This 426-nucleotide ribosomal RNA is filed under the name Candidatus Udaeobacter sp. RNAcentral's name for it is "partial 16S ribosomal RNA". It matches the Rfam family "Bacterial small subunit ribosomal RNA", at positions 355 to 774 of the family's 1533-position model. The record is from RNAcentral. Lineage: Bacteria; Pseudomonadati; Verrucomicrobiota; Spartobacteria; Chthoniobacterales; Chthoniobacteraceae. RNAcentral also lists the same sequence under 3 other names.